RNAcentral lists this ribosomal RNA (253 nucleotides) under uncultured bacterium. RNAcentral's name for it is "partial 16S ribosomal RNA". It matches the Rfam family "Bacterial small subunit ribosomal RNA", at positions 524 to 776 of the family's 1533-position model. The record is from RNAcentral.
UACAGAGACUGCAAGCGUUAUUCGGAUUCACUGGGCGUAAAGGGCGCGUAGGCGGUCCUGUAAGUCCUGCGUGAAAUCCCCCGGCUCAACCGGGGAACUGCGCGGGAGACUGCGGGGCUUGAGUUCGGGAGAGGGAAGCGGAAUUCCGGGUGUAGCGGUGAAAUGCGUAGAGAUCGGGAGGAACACCAGCGGCGAAGGCGGCGACCUGGACAGGUACUGACACUCAACUACGAAAGCGUGGGGAGCAAACAGG